UGGGGAAUCUUGCACAAUGGGCGCAAGCCUGAUGCAGCCAUGCCGCGUGUAUGAAGAAGGCCUUCGGGUUGUAAAGUACUUUCAGCGGAGAGGAAGGAAGGAAAGUUAAUACCUUUGCUCAUUGGCGUUACCCGCAGAAGAAGCACCGGCUAACUCCGUGCCCGCAGCCGCGGGAAUACGGAGGGUGCCAACGUUAAUCGGAAUUACUGGGCGUAAAGCGCACGCCGGGGGGUUGUUAAGUCAGAUGUGAAAUCCCCGGGCUCUACCUGGGAACUGCUUCUGAUACUGGCAAGCUUGAGUCUCGUAGAGGGGGGUAGAAUUCCAGGUGUAGCGGUGAAAUGCGUAGAGAUCUGGAGGAAUACCGGUGGCGAAGGCGGCCCCCUGGACGAAGACUGACGCUCAGGUGCGAAAGCGUGGGGAGCAAACAGGAUUAGAUACCCUGGUAGUCCACGCCGUAAAACGAUGUCGACUUGGAGGUUGUGCCCUUUGAGGCGUGGCUUCCGGAGCUAACGCGUUAAAUCGACUCGCCUGGGAGUACCGACGCAAGGUUA
RNAcentral lists this ribosomal RNA (551 nucleotides) under uncultured bacterium. RNAcentral describes it as "bacterial SSU rRNA". It matches the Rfam family "Bacterial small subunit ribosomal RNA", at positions 355 to 896 of the family's 1533-position model. The record is from RNAcentral.